UAGUUUAAUUGAUAGAUAUUGAGGUUCUAAAUUAUACUAGGAUUAAGUUGAAUUAGGAUUUGGUUAGAGUUUGGUCUAGGUUUAGGGUUGGAUUAAGGUUUAGGAUUUGAUUAAGAUUUGGUUAGGAUUUAGGAUUGAACAAGGAUAUAAAAAUGAAUUAGGAUUUAAGAUUUGGAUUAGGAUUUUUUUAGAAUUUAGAAUUUAAGAUUUUUUUAGGAAUUAAGAUUAGACUAGGAUUUAUGAUUUGAUUUAGGAUUUUUUUAGGAUUUAGAAUUUAGGAUUUUUUUAGGAUUUAGGAUUUAGGAUUUUUUUAGAAUUUAGGAUUUAAGAUUUGCUUAGGAUUUAGGAUUUGGUCUACGAUUUGAUUGAAAUCUAUUAAGAUUUCAACUAGGAUUAAAUUAAGACUUUGUUGAGAUUUAUUUAAGAUAUAUUUGUAAUUAUUCUAAUAUUUCUUUAGGAUUUCUUUGGAAUUCUUUGAAGGUUUAUUGUAGAUUUUUUUUGAACUCUUUUAAGAUUUUUUAUUCUUUCUUUUGUAAUUUCUUUAAGGUUUCUUUUGAAUUUGAUUAAAGCUUGCUUAGCAUUAUUAAGGUUUUAUUAAAGUUUAUUUAGUAAUCUAUUAGAGUUAGAAUUUUGAUGUUGUAAUUUCUAUUCUAUCUUCUAU
This 661-nucleotide long non-coding RNA is filed under the name Physcomitrium patens. Its description in RNAcentral is "long non-coding RNA (PPAT_LNC001262)". The record is from RNAcentral. Lineage: Eukaryota; Viridiplantae; Streptophyta; Bryopsida; Funariales; Funariaceae.